This is a long non-coding RNA of Homo sapiens (human), 2286 nucleotides long. Ensembl annotates it as OIP5 antisense RNA 1. Its record names the gene OIP5-AS1. The record is from Ensembl. NCBI's taxonomy places the organism in Eukaryota, Metazoa, Chordata, Mammalia, Primates, Hominidae.
UAAGGCGUGCCGCUGCAAACUGGCCUCUGGGCCGGGGGCGAGCAGCCCCCGGGAGGCCGAGUGCAUCUGUUGGACCGUGCGAGGAGAAGAAAAAAAAUAUCGGCCAGAGGAGAGGAACUAACCGAACAUUCUUCCUCCCUACCUUAUAGAGGGGAGUGGUCAUCUACACUAAAGCAAAGUGUUAGGCGCGUCCGUGCGAAGAGACCACCAAACAGGCUUUGUCCAAAGCUGGACUGUACUGCUGCCAUCUCGGCUCACUGCAACCUCCCUGCCUGAUUCUCCUGCCUCAGCCUGCCGAGUGCCUGCGAUUGCAGGCACGCGCCGCCACACUUGACAGGUUUUCAUAUUUUUUUGGUGGAGACGGGGUUUCGCUGUGUUGGCUGGGCUGGUCUCCAGCUCCUAACCGCGAGUGAUCCACCAGCCUCGGCCUCCCAGGGUGCCGGGAUUGCAGACGGAGUCUCGUCUCGUUCACUCAGUGCUCAAUGGUGCCCAGGCUGGAGUGCAGUGGCAUGAUCUUGGCUCGCUACAACCUCCACCUCCCAGCCGCCUGCCUUGGCCUCCCAAAGUGCCGAGAUUACAGCCUCUGCCCAGCCGCCACCCCGUCUGGGAAGUGAGGAGCGUCUCUGCCUGGCCACCCAUCGUCUGGGAUGUGAGGAGCCCCUCUGCCUGGCUGCCCAGUCUGGAAAGUGAGGAGCGUCUCUGCCCGCCCGCCAUCCCAUCUAGGAAGUGAGGAGCGCCUCUUCCCGGCCGCCAUCCCAUCUAGGAAGUGAGGAGCGUCUCUGCCCGGCCUCCCAUGGUCUGAGAUGUGGGGAACGCCUCUGCCCUGCCGCCCCGUCUGGGAUGUGAGGAGCGCCUCUGCCCGGCCGCGACCCUGCCUGGGAGGUGAGGAGCGUCUCUGCCCGGCUGCCCCAUCUUGAGAAGUGAGGAGACCCUCCGCCCGGCAGCCUCCCUGUCUGAGAAGUGAGGAGCCCCUCCGCCCGGCAGCCACCCCAUCUGGGAAGUGAGGAGCGUCUCCGCCCGGCAGCCACCCUGUCGGGGAGGGAGGUGGGGGGUCAGCCCCCCGCCCAGCCAGCCGCCCCGUCCAGGAGGGAGGUGGGGGGGUCAGCCCCCCGCCCGGCCAGCCGCCCCGUCCGGGAGGGAGGUGGGGUGGUCCAGCCCCCCGCCCGGCCAGCCGUCCCGUCCUGGAGGGAGGUGGGGGGGUCAGCCCCCCGCCCGGCCAGCCGCCCCGUCCGCGAGGUGAUGGGCGCCUCUGCCCGGCCGCCCCUACUGGGAAGUGAGGAGCCCCUCUGCCCGGCCACCACCCUGUCUGGGAGGUGUACCCAACAGCUCAUUGAGAAUGGGCCAUGAUGACAAUGGCAGUUUUGUGGAAUAGAAAAGGGGGAAAGGUGGGGAAAAGAUUGAGAAAUCGGAUGGCUGCUGUGUCUGUGUAGAAAGAAGUAGACAUGGGAGACUUUUCAUUUUGUUCUGUACUAAGAAAAAUUCUUCUGCCUUGGGAUCCUGUUGAUCUAUGACCUUACCCCCAAUCCUGUGCUCUCUGAAACAUGUGCUGUGUCCACUCAGGGUUAAAUGGAUUAAGGGCGGUGCAAGAUGUGCUUUGUUAAACAGAUGCUUGAAGGCAGCAUGCUCCUUAAGAGUCAUCACCACUCCCUAAUCUCAAGUACCCAGGGACACAAACACUGCGGAAGGCCGCAGGGUCCUCUGCCUAGGAAAACCAGAGACCUUUGUUCACUUGUUUAUCUGCUGACCUUCCCUCCACUAUUGUCCUAUGACCCUGCCAAAUCCCCCUCUGCGAGAAACACCCAAGAAUGAUCAAUAAAAAAAUAAAUAAAUAAAUAAAUAAAUAAAAAAGAAAAAAAUGCGCAGACUAAAAGAGAAAGAAAAGGGAAUCCUAUUACCCUAGCAAGCCAUCUAUUUUGUUUUCCUUAUCCUCUGAAAAGAUUACUGAUGAAGAGUCAGAUGUUGAUUUUAGCUCUCAUUACAAUUCUUGAGCAAGUCAUCAUAUUUGCUGGUAUAUAAGACAUAUUUAAAUAUUAGAAAGAAACAUUUUGGUCAGGCACAGUGGUUCACACCUACUGUAAUCCCAGCACUAUGAGAGGCCAAAGUGGGCAGAUAGCUUGAGCCCAGGAAUUCGAGAGCAGCCUAGGCAACAUGGUAAUACCCCGUCUUAAAAAAUAAAUAAAUGUUUUACAAGAAAAGCACUUUAAGAAAAUAUUUCAUCAUGCAUGUGCUAAAAGCAAUUUUAAAGUGGUUUGGUAAAGGAAAAAUAAAUUGUAUUAAUAUAUAGUA